This 73-nucleotide transfer RNA is filed under the name Mycoplasmopsis cynos. RNAcentral describes it as "tRNA-Phe". It matches the Rfam family "tRNA". From Rfam's summary of the family: Transfer RNA (tRNA) molecules are approximately 80 nucleotides in length. Their secondary structure includes four short double-helical elements and three loops (D, anti-codon, and T loops). Further hydrogen bonds mediate the characteristic L-shaped molecular structure. tRNAs have two regions of fundamental functional importance: the anti-codon, which is responsible for specific mRNA codon recognition, and the 3' end, to which the tRNAs corresponding amino acid is attached (by aminoacyl-tRNA synthetases). tRNAs cope with the degeneracy of the genetic code in two manners: having more than one tRNA (with a specific anti-codon) for a particular amino acid; and 'wobble' base-pairing, i.e. permitting non-standard base-pairing at the 3rd anti-codon position. The record is from RNAcentral. Lineage: Bacteria; Bacillati; Mycoplasmatota; Mycoplasmoidales; Metamycoplasmataceae.
UACUCUGUAGCUCAGUUGGUAGAGCAACAGAUUGAAGCUCUGUGUGUCGCUGGUUCGAUUCCUGCUAAAGUAC